GCGGGUAUAGUUUAGUGGUAGAACUCCAGUCUUCCAAACUGGUUGCGACAGUUCGAUUCUGUCUACCCGCACCA
RNAcentral lists this transfer RNA (74 nucleotides) under Pelagicoccus albus. RNAcentral describes it as "tRNA-Gly". It matches the Rfam family "tRNA". From Rfam's summary of the family: Transfer RNA (tRNA) molecules are approximately 80 nucleotides in length. Their secondary structure includes four short double-helical elements and three loops (D, anti-codon, and T loops). Lineage: Bacteria; Pseudomonadati; Verrucomicrobiota; Opitutia; Puniceicoccales; Pelagicoccaceae. The record is from RNAcentral. RNAcentral also lists the same sequence under 2 other names.